GACGAACGCUGGCGGCGUGCUUAACACAUGUAAGUCGAACGCUGAAGCUUGGUGCUUGCACUGGGUGGAUGAGUGGCGAACGGGUGAGUAAUACGUGAGUAACCUGCCCUUGACUCUGGGAUAAGCCUGGGAAACUGGGUCUAAUACUGGAUACGACAUGUCACCGCAUGGUGGUGUGUGGAAAGGGUUUUACUGGUUUUGGAUGGGCUCACGGCCUAUCAGCUUGUUGGUGGGGUAAUGGCUCACCAAGGCGACGACGGGUAGCCGGCCUGAGAGGGUGACCGGCCACACUGGGACUGAGACACGGCCCAGACUCCUACGGGAGGCAGCAGUGGGGAAUAUUGCACAAUGGGCGGAAGCCUGAUGCAGCGACGCCGCGUGAGGGAUGACGGCCUUCGGGUUGUAAACCUCUUUCAGCACGGAGGAAGCGAAAGUGACGGUACGUGCAGAAGAAGCGCCGGCUAACUACGUG
This 472-nucleotide ribosomal RNA is filed under the name uncultured bacterium. RNAcentral's name for it is "partial 16S ribosomal RNA". It matches the Rfam family "Bacterial small subunit ribosomal RNA", at positions 28 to 507 of the family's 1533-position model. The record is from RNAcentral.